GUAGGGAAUAUUGGGCAAUGGAUGCAAGUCUGACCCAGCCAUCCCGCGUGCCGGAAGAAGGCCCUCAGGGUUGUAAACGGCUUUUGACGGUGAAGAAUCGACAGGAUGCGUCCUGUUUUGACGGUAGCCGUUGAAUAAGCACCGGCUAACUCCGUGCCAGCAGCCGCGGUAAUACGGAGGGUGCGAGCGUUGUCCGGAUUUAUUGGGUUUAAAGGGUGCGUAGGCUGGAAGGUCAGUCAGCGGUGAAAAGCUGUCGCUUAACGAUAGUCUUACCGCAGAUACUUCCUUUCUUGGAUGAGGAGGAGGCCACUGGAACGGAUGGUGUAGCGGUGAAAUGCAUAGAUAUCAUCCAGAACACCGAUUGCGAAGGCAGGUGGCUGUACCUUAAUCGACGCUGAUGCACGAAAGCAUGGGGAGCAAACAGGAUUAGAUACCCCUGUAGUCC
RNAcentral lists this ribosomal RNA (445 nucleotides) under uncultured bacterium. Its description in RNAcentral is "partial 16S ribosomal RNA". It matches the Rfam family "Bacterial small subunit ribosomal RNA", at positions 354 to 796 of the family's 1533-position model. The record is from RNAcentral.